RNAcentral lists this ribosomal RNA (499 nucleotides) under uncultured bacterium. Its description in RNAcentral is "partial 16S ribosomal RNA". It matches the Rfam family "Bacterial small subunit ribosomal RNA", at positions 28 to 523 of the family's 1533-position model. The record is from RNAcentral.
GAUGAACGCUAGCGGCAGGCCUAAUACACGCAAGUCGAACGAGAUUAAGAGGCUUGCUUCUUAUGAAAGUGGCGCACGGGUGCGUAACGCGUAUGCAACCUACCUUAAUCAGGGGGAUAGCCCGAAGAAAUUCAGAUUAAGACCGCAUAAAAACACAGGAUAGCAUUAUCCAAUGUUCAAAUAUUUAUAGGAUUAAGAUGGGCAUGCGUGUCAUUAGCUAGUUGGCGGGGUAACGGCCCACCAAGGCGACGAUGACUAGGGGAUCUGAGAGGAUGACCCCCCCACACUGGUACUGAGACACGGACCAGACUCCUACGUGAGGCAGCAGUAAGGAAUAUUGGUCAAUGGAGGGAACUCUGAACCAGCCAUGCCGCGUGCAGGAAGACAGCCCUCUGGGUCGUAAACUGCUUUUAUUCGGGAAUAAACCUUUCUACGUGUAGGAAGCUGAAUGUACCGAAGGAAUAAGGAUCGGCUAACUCCGUGCCAGCCGCCGCGGUAA